RNAcentral lists this ribosomal RNA (765 nucleotides) under Austrochloritis nambucca. RNAcentral describes it as "partial large subunit ribosomal RNA". Lineage: Eukaryota; Metazoa; Mollusca; Gastropoda; Stylommatophora; Camaenidae. The record is from RNAcentral.
UUAAUUAAAAGAUGUAAUAUUACUUUUCACGAAGUUGAGGGAGCUAGUUAUUAUAUAUUUAUAGAUGUCAAGAUGUUACAUAAUUUAGAAAAUAAUAAUUAGGAGUGAGAGGCUUUUCAUACUCAACGAUAACUUGAUGGUUUAGAAAUGUACAAGUACAUUGGCACUCUUGGAAUGACAAGGUUACAAGAGCUCAACAAAUAUUUUAUUGGGGUAUAUAUCUAAUUUAAUCGUUAAUAUAAUAAUACUAUAAUAUUAAUUUACUAUAAUUGUUUAAUUUAUAAACUUAUAAGAAAAUAGUUUUAAAUAUAAGUAAUGUUAAUAUUAGUAUCAAAAAGAUGUUGAUAAUGAACUCGGCAAGAAGUCUUUCAACUGUUUAUCAAAAACAUAGCUAUAUGAAUUACUAUAUAGUGUUUUCUGCUCAAUGAAUUUUAAAUAGCCGCAGUACCCUGACUGUGCUAAGGUAGCGCAAUCAAUUGACUUUUAAAUGAAGUCCAGUAUGAAAGAAACCAUGGGGGGCUACUUUUUCGUUGGCACUUAUCGAAUUUACUUAUGAAGUGCAAAUUCUUCUUUAAAAAUAAAAGACGAGAAGACCCUAGAAAUUUUAAGGAGAAACUUUUUGUUGGGGCAACAAAGUAGCAAUAAGUAAUCUACUAUUAUAACUGGAAAGAUAUAUCUGGUAAGAUUAAAUUACUCUAGGGAUAACAGCAUAAUUUGGAAAAGUUUGUGACCUCGAUGUUGGAUUAGGGAAUUUAAGUUUAGAAG